Long non-coding RNA from Alligator sinensis (Chinese alligator), 1309 nucleotides. RefSeq lists it as uncharacterized. The record is from RefSeq and is a predicted model, not a curated record. NCBI's taxonomy places the organism in Eukaryota, Metazoa, Chordata, Crocodylia, Alligatoridae. The transcript is spliced from 3 exons.
GGAGCUGCGAGUUGCCGCGCCGCGCCACGCGGGGGGCGGGGCCCCAGGGGCUCGGGCCCGCCGGAGAAUCGGACUCGGGGCGUGGCGGAGGGAAUCGCUGGGCGCUUCUGUUCUGUAGCGGCCCGUGUGCGACCCCCGGUUAAAGCCCUGGACGGAAUCUGAGCCCUGCCCCUCGCGGCGGGUUCGCGGCUUAACCCAGUGCGUGGGGAAACCCGCCUGGGCCGGGAAACGUGGUUCUGUCUUGUCGCCCUGACACCCAGAACCAGCAUGCUGCACUGAGCGUGAUUCACCGCCCUGCCACAGGCCCAGCUUUCAAACGUUCCCGGAGACCAAUGGGUUUCCACACCUGCCUUUUUGGAUCUGGGCCUUGAUACCUUGAAAUGGUGCUGGGAAGAGCAGACUCCAGGUUACUUCACCUGCUCAAAUGCGGGACCGCAGAGGUUCACCGCAGUUGUGGCCUGGUCACUGGAGGUAACCACAACUUGUUGCCUGGCUCAAUGGCGGCCAACCUUUUUGAGUGCCAAAAUUAGGCCUGCAUCUUCUCUGAAUGCCACAGGGAUCCCCUUCCCUGCUGGGUCUGCUUUCUGCCUUGUGUUCCCUACUCCAUCUGCUGCUCUGCUUCCUGCUCCCUCCCCUAUGUGGCAGUGUGCUGCCUGUCCCCUCCAUGGUCUGCUGCAUGCCACGUGCACACAAGCUGCCUGUGCCACUUGUGGCAGGAAUGUCAUGGGCUGGCCAGGCCUGGACUAGCUGCUUGCAAAAGUUCUUCAGCAGUGCUUUCAAAAGGAUAAAUAUCCGGAAUGAGAUGCACAGGCAGAAGCCCAUUGUGUCCCUGUGAGCUGCGGGACCCCCAAGAGGACCCUGGUGGACCCCAACCCCAACCCCCAGCGCAGCCGGGAGGAAACUGGGAGCCCACCGAUGCUCCUGACCCUGCAGCUGAAAGAUUUUGAAAACUCUGGGACACGCCUGGGGAUAAACUUGAUCCCAGCACGAACUCCCUCUCCUGCCACUGCUGCUUCCCAGUGCGUGUCCUGGAAACAGAGGUGAAUGGGGCAGUUCCAUAUUGCUGGCACCUGGGAAAGGAUCUUGCAGCAGCCUGGUGAAGAACCACAGAUCUAGGGCCUCUCCCAAAUCAUCCCCUCUAUUUGUGCCCCUUUGGGUUCUGUCAGCCCUGCUUAGAAAGCACUUUUUCUUUCCACAGGGACAGAAUGCAACUGAAAAUUUCAUUUCUGCCUGAAAAUGUUGUACCUGGAAACUACAAAUGUUCCUCUCCUUAAAGCUGCUCACAACAAUAAAGCCUCCCUGAAUCUUC